UAGGGAAUCUUCCACAAUGGACGAAAGUCUGAUGGAGCAAACGCCGCGUGAGUGAAGAAGGGUUUCGGCUCGUAAAGCUCUGUUGGUAGUGAAGAAAGAUAGAGGUAGUAACUGGCCUUUAUUUGACGGUAAUUACUUAGAAAGUCACGGCUAACUACGUGCC
RNAcentral lists this ribosomal RNA (163 nucleotides) under uncultured bacterium. RNAcentral describes it as "partial 16S ribosomal RNA". It matches the Rfam family "Bacterial small subunit ribosomal RNA", at positions 355 to 509 of the family's 1533-position model. The record is from RNAcentral.